GAUGAACGCUGGCGGCGUGCCUAACACAUGCAAGUCGAACGGAAAGGCCCUGCUUUUGCGGGGUUCUCGAGUGGGGCACGGGUGUGUAACACAUGAGUAUCCUGCCCUUGACUUUGUGAUAUCUUCAGGCAACUGGGGCUAAUACCGGAUAGGAGCUCCUGCUGCAUGGUGGUGGUUGGAAAGUUUCGGCUGUUGUGGCUGGACUUGCGGCUUACCAGCUUGUUGGUGGAGUAGUUGCUUACCAAGGCUUUGACGGCUAGCCGGCCUGAGAGGGUGACCGGCCUCCAUGGGACUGAGAGACGGACCAGACUGCAACGGGAGGCAGCAGUGGGGAAUAUUGCACAAUGGGCGGAAGCCUGUUGCAGAGGCGCCGCGUUCGGGAUGACCGCCUUCUGGUUGUAAACCGCUUUCGCCUGUGACGAAGCGGGAGUGACGGUAAUGGGUAAAGAAGCACCGGCUAACUACGUG
Molecule: ribosomal RNA, 468 nt
Filed under: uncultured bacterium
Lineage: Bacteria
Description: partial 16S ribosomal RNA
Rfam family: Bacterial small subunit ribosomal RNA
Source: RNAcentral